GGACCCGUAGCUCAGCCAGGAUAGAGCGCCGGCCUCCUAAGCCGGUGGUCACGGGUUCGAAUCCCGUCGGGUCCGCCA
RNAcentral lists this transfer RNA (78 nucleotides) under Acidianus ambivalens. RNAcentral's name for it is "tRNA-Arg". It matches the Rfam family "tRNA". From Rfam's summary of the family: Transfer RNA (tRNA) molecules are approximately 80 nucleotides in length. Their secondary structure includes four short double-helical elements and three loops (D, anti-codon, and T loops). Lineage: Archaea; Thermoproteati; Thermoproteota; Thermoprotei; Sulfolobales; Sulfolobaceae. RNAcentral also lists the same sequence under 3 other names. The record is from RNAcentral.